Non-coding RNA from Drosophila melanogaster (fruit fly), 100 nucleotides. RefSeq annotates it as mir-274 precursor RNA. The transcript has a single exon. The record is from RefSeq. Lineage: Eukaryota; Metazoa; Arthropoda; Insecta; Diptera; Drosophilidae.
UCCUGUGUUGCAGUUUCGUUUUGUGACCGACACUAACGGGUAAUUGUUUGGCCGCCAGGAUUACUCGUUUUUGCGAUCACAAAUUAUGAAAUUGCAGCAA